Molecule: long non-coding RNA, 5687 nt
Organism: Gasterosteus aculeatus aculeatus (three-spined stickleback)
Lineage: Eukaryota; Metazoa; Chordata; Actinopteri; Perciformes; Gasterosteidae
Source: Ensembl
GUCACGAUGACGCGGGCGUGAUGUGGCUGAUUCAGACGUUUAGCAUCGCGGUUGAGUUCUCGUUGGAGAAUUUGCCUUCGGGUUAUUGUAAUUCUCUGGGGGACAAUCGAGCAGGUAAUCAGAUAAAACGCCACAGUUACGUUACUUUGGAGUUUCCUAGCCUGAAGAUGUCAGCCGUGCUUAUUUGAAGUUAUAGCUAACGUUAGCUCUUGAAAAUCCUUUAAAAAUAAAGCAAAGAAUAAACGAGGCGCCGUUUUUGGCAGCUGUGGUUAGUGGGGUUUAACCCUAACUACUCUACAAUAACGUGCUAUAUAAUUUAGUAUGAGAUGUGCUCACUGUCAGUGCUGUAGUGGUAAAAUUAGAGGUGGGUAAACUCUGAAUUUUGCGAUCAUACAGACCUCGACGCGAUGCGAAGCAACGCAACACAAAGCGGCUAUAUUGCAUUAUGUUAUCAGUAAAAGUCAUAUACAAUCAAUGACAAUGAAUAAAUGUGUUAGUAGUUUGAAGUUUAUUAAAUUUAAGAAAACAGUAAAGAAAAGUAUGUCAACACAACAACACAAUUGCAGAUUAAGAACUAUCUACAUAUGGAGUCUCCUCUUUACAGUAGUGCCCAGAGGGCCUCCUUGUCCUCCACGUCAGGUCCUGCCUUGCACAGAGGAGCCAUGAACAACAGCAAAAAGAAAACACCACACAGACAACUUGCUUGCCCCUAAAGAUGCAUUUGGUCGCUUAAUUGUGAUCAGUUCAAUAGUUCAACCAAAAGUAGAUUGUUGUUUUUACAUUUUAAACACUAUUGCUAAACCACUUGUACAUAAAAAUGAUCACAAUGCUCUUUGGUCCUUAUUUUUGAAGAUGGUUCCACAGUUAUGGAAAAUAGGAGAUGGACUUGUAGCUCUUGGGACUUGGGCUCAUGCCAGUCUGCACUGAUCAAUGAACCCUUGUCCAUUAAAUGAAGACAGCAGCUAAUUUCAGGUAUGGAUGGAUGAUUGCCUCUUCUGUAUCUGGCUUUCAAAGCCCUCUCGCUGGACCAAGGAGGAGGGCAGCUUGACCUGAGGAGUUCACAUAAGGUCUUCUACUUCAGAAGAAAAAAACAGAACAUUAGAGGGAAUGAGCCCAUGCAUGUAAACAGCACCUAACAGGACACCCUGACCGUAGCACUGUGAACCAAUGUUAUUACUAAAUACUACUUGAAUGAAUGGACAAUAUUGAGCGACAAUACAAAAGAGCUUUAAAAGAUUGUUGCAUGCACGGUAAUGUGGAAACAUUUAGUAUGCCUGAGACCGAUUGUGUAUUAAGAUGAAGAAUCAAAUUGAAUCAGCCACAUUCGACUCAUAUGAGCAUCAUGAUAAUCAUUCAAUAGGUCCGGAAAGUAACUUCCCCAGUUGUAAAAUCGAAUUGGGCGUUAAUUUGGGAGUUUUUCUGUUUAUAAAUUAGCUUUAUCUAAUCAAUUGUUCCUUUAUAAUUUGAUAUAUCCCAACAGACAACAAUUAUGUUUCAGACGUCAGAGCACAAUUCUGAUAAUAACUGUGAAUUCCUUUUUUAUUUAUUUGUUGGGGUUAUAACAAGUCAAAGUUGAAUAUAAUUGUGUUUAUUCUCAAGUAAACCUGCCAUGUGUAAUUCAUGUUUUUUUUUUUAACUGGACAGGACAGGAUACAGAACAUAACCAUAUUUUGUUUCUGACUAAUUUUCUAAAACAUAUGUUGAUGAGGUUUUUGUGUUCAUUUUAUAGAAGUUGCUAAGAGAAGGUGUUUCAAUGCUUCUUUUGUAUCACCAAGACUGACAUCUGGAGGAUAAAACAAAGAGCUGCAAGUGUUUCAGACUUCUUUUCUUUUUGGAAUUCUGAGGAAUUAGUUUUUUGGAAACACUAAUGAACCCCUUGCGUGUCCUUUGCGUGCCCUUUUCACACCAAAACCCAUUCAUUCUCUAUGGUUGUGCUAAACCACUGCGGGUGUAAUAUAUCUUUGGCCACCGGUGGCGCUGUUGUGCGGACCGAGCGUUUGCCCGGAUGUAAAGCGUUUCUCCGGUCAUUCUCCGUCAGUCUACCCGGGAUAGAGCACCGAAGCGACGGUGCACCUUCGUCGGACCUCGCGCUAUGAGGAAGUCACUAAACAGUAAGUCAAUGACAUUUAAUGUGUAAUAAUUAUUAAGAUAAAUAUGCAGCAUGACUAUAAAUAUAAUUUAUGUUGGUGUCACGCCACAUGUUAGUUUAUAGUUGUGUUCACGUGUGUUUGACUGCAUUAAUUACUAGUUGCAUAUCACAGAUGUUACUCAACUAAUAAAUGAGGAUCUUGUAAUAGAUUAAACCACCAGAAUUGUUUAAAGUCAGUCAAAUUUAAACACAUUAAUGCCUCAAUGAUUAGGAUAAUAUAUGAUAUAUUUGGCAUCACGACUAGUUUUAAUCUUACUUUAAAAAAAGUUAAUUUAACUUAAAGUUAAUUUAAGUCCCUGAAGCCCAUGUACUGGGGACUGGCACAGCGCUGCAGCGCUGCAGGCAUAGAAAAGGCACAAUAACAGUGGGUAGACAGGUAAAUUAUAUCAAUAUUUUUAACCAUCAUUGGUGACACAAACAGCUCAUAGUAACAACUUAGAUUACUUUUCAUUUUUUUCAGUUUCAUUAAAGAAAAGCCCUUUGCAUUCAAUUUUAUUUUGAUGACCAUAUCCACCGGUGCACACAUGGUGGUCUAUAUGACUGCUGUCACAUCGAUGGCUUUCCUUUUCUUUUUUCUUUCAGGGAUUGCUGUGUUGCACUUAAGGUGGCAGAGUCGUCUGCAGGAGAACAUCUGAAAUGGGAUUCUUGGAGAACAAGAGAUUGCCAAUGUCACGUCUGGCAACCAUCACAUUUUAAUGCAAACAUUAAUAUCAAGCUGGACUUGUUUCACUGCAUGAGGCGGUUCCUCCGUGAGUGUGUGUCGGUGGCAUCCCGCCCUGUACAGUUCCUUUGCUCAGUUCCUUUGCUCAGUUCCUCUGGACUGGGACAAGCACAACAGCAAGACAGAUCACACCCAGGCCCCGAAUCCACCUCCUCAAAGUGAUCCACUCGCUACACAGUCGGAGGUUCAAGGGUGUUCCAGUUUUCUCCAUACAUUUGUGUCACUUAUCCAUUUUUUUACAAGAUGUGAAAAUAUAUUUAGGGUGUUAUUAAAUAAACAUUCACAUACAAAUACCAGUCUUUCAUGAGCUUUUAAUGAAAGUUUAUAUUUAUUAGACAAGUAUUUGAUUCUCUAGGUCAGAAUGACUUAUAAUACUCUGUCUUUUGUUCCUGUAGAAACUCUACACAGCAAAAAUUGGAGUGUUGAAAUUUCAGGGUUAAAAAUUUCCGAGUUGAUUUUCACUCCCAGAGUGUAAUUUCAACACAUUCUGAUUUAAAUGGUGUUCAGUGUUGGAGUUAUUUGGCAGAGUUGAUCAUGUCAGUGUUAACCCAACUCCGCAGAGACGUAAUUAAGCUCCGCCCACGCCUUUCACCUCUUCGGUUAGAGACAGAGAAGACAAGUCUGCGCCAUUUUCUACCUCUCAUGCAGCACUACACGAUCAAAGGGACCGCAAAAAACGUGUCCCAACAUGCAGACGGGUGUUUCACGUGUCUAGUUCACGUGUCUUGACAAUCAUGGGAACACUUCUAUGAUGCUGCAAGCAGCACAGGGUACAUUUCUUGGCGUCUGAAAACAGUCCAGAGGAAGAUUCUGCACAGCCACCAAAUAGCCCAAUUGACUUUUCUCCAGGAGGCCCAAAUUGGCAAAGGACUGUUAAUGUUGAAGGGCAGCUUGAUGGUGAUGCUUGCCAAGAGGCCAUGUCUUUGCUUAACCAUACAGCAGACAAUUCCCUGAUUUUCCAGAAGAUGAGAGAAACCUUUCAGCAUCGUCAGAACCUACGACCAAGAAAUGGCCUCCCUGUUGUUGCUGUUACAUCUCCUUCCACCACCUCCAGGGGGACUGAAGUCUCCAAAAAAUAGUGCAUGUGAUGCAGUUGAAAGACUUGUUGUAUUUCAUAAGUCAUGCUGCAGUUUGGAGGAGCAUCUCCGCAACCAGCAGGGUCGGCAGCCGUACCUCCUCGCUGUUGGGCGUCAGAAGAGCAAGAUUGACAGCUUCUACAUCACCAUGGAUAAGCGUCUCAUCCCAUGCAAGGCAAACCGCUCCCUCGGGGCAUGUGAUGAACUUUUCAAAGCACAUUUUGUGUUUAAUUUGUCUUACGAUGUGGCACUUGUGAAUUUUUAUACAUUCCUGCAGACAACAGUGUAUAACAUUGAUGUGGGGAAAAUGAAGGAGUCACCCAGAGUUAAAGACUUGAGAGCAAGACUGCUUAACCAGCCAGUAGCAUUCUCACCCUGUGAGUAAGAAGCUAUAACAAUGCUGACCUGUUUCAUGUGUUGACAAACAAGCUAUUUACAGAGAAUUUUCAUGACCAUCAUCAUGCAUUCAGAGUAUUACGAAGUGCGGAAAGAUGUUUACUAAAAAUGUCUGCGCUUAAAUUUCAUAAACCGUUUCAUAUUCAAAGCUCAUAUAAUGUUUUGGAUGAAAGUUUGUACAUUAUACCUUCAUUCACAAUGUUUUAAUUCAACUGACUGCAAGGGAGAAAAGGAAUAAAUGUUUUUGAAAAUGUUUUUUAUUGUGAUGAAUUCUUAUUAAUAUAAGUAUAUAUUUAAUUAAUACAUUUAAAAUGAAUUAACAUUUUUUCAGUGUAGAUAAUUGACACAUUAGGGAGUGUAAUUAACACUACCAAAAUAGUUAAAAAAAUUAACUCGGAGCAGUGUUAGUUGUCUAAUCCCUCAGUGUUACUUUAACACUGUUUUGUGAGUUAAUAAAGGAACUCUGGUAGAGUGUUAAAUGUUUAACUAUUUUGAAAGUGUUAAUUUAACUCUGGAGAGUGUGGAGCUAUAUAAACUCUCAAAAAGUGUUGAAAUCAACUCUGUGGGAGUUAAUUCAACACUGGACAUUUUGCUGUGUACGUCCGCCGUCGCUGGCAGUUAUCGACCUGCUGCUCAACAAACACCGUGAGCAGAAGGACAUGCUGAAGCUUGUGGACCAGGACUACGCUGCUCUAGUUCACAACUCCUGCACAGACCCCAACAGCAUGCUCCACCCGACAACAAAACUACAUGUUCUACAAUAUGUAAAGCACCUCAGCAAAUUGUUGAACACCAGUUCCUCUUUAAACGUCAGUCCAGAAAAACUGCAAGAGAGGCAGAAACUCUGUCACUCUCUGACAGAGGCGAGUGAGACUACUAGUGUGCAGGUUGUUACGAUGUCUGUUGUAAUUGUUCACCCACCUCCACCUGUUCAGAUGCUGACACAAGCUUCUGUUGAGAAGAUUGUACCCAACAUCAUGGAAAAGCAGCAGCAACAUAAACAGGAACAACAACAACAACCGGGGCAAAAGAAGGGCCGCACGAAAGACAAAAGUUCUUUCAGCUAGAACUGGAUGCCACACAGAAAAGUUCCAUCUGGCAUUUUAAGUGCAAUUAUUUGUAAUAUUCAUGUUGUAAUUAGUUUAUAUAUUGGUUUCUUGCAUUUGUGACUUUGUACAUUGAAAUAUUAUCAUUUUAUUAUUUAUAUUUGGUUUUAAUAUUCAUUAGUUUAAUUAUUUAAAUGUCUUUAUUUCUGUAACAUGUUUGUUUGUAUAGGACUAUACAAAUCGGUUGAUGUAUCUGUGUUCAACAUUUACUGUCCAAGUUAAUAAAUAUAUUUCAAUUA